GAUGAACGCUGGCGGCGUGCCUAAUACAUGCAAGUCGAGCGAACGGACGAGAAGCUUGCUUUUCUGAUGUUAGCGGCGGACGGGUGAGUAACACGUGGAUAACCUACCUAUAAGACUGGGAUAACUUCGGGAAACCGGAGCUAAUACCGGAUAAUAUUUUGAACCGCAUGGUUCAAAAGUGAAAGACGGUCUUGCUGUCACUUAUAGAUGGAUCCGCGCUGCAUUAGCUAGUUGGUAAGGUAACGGCUUACCAAGGCAACGAUGCAUAGCCGACCUGAGAGGGUGAUCGGCCACACUGGAACUGAGACACGGUCCAGACUCCUACGGGAGGCAGCAGUAGGGAAUCUUCCACAAUGGGCGAAAGCCUGACGGAGCAACGCCGCGUGAGUGAUGAAGGUCUUCGGAUCGUAAAACUCUGUUAUUAGGGAAGAACAUAUGUGUAAGUAACUGUGCACAUCUUGUCGGUACCUAAUCAGAAAGCCACGGCUAACUACG
RNAcentral lists this ribosomal RNA (495 nucleotides) under uncultured bacterium. RNAcentral describes it as "partial 16S ribosomal RNA". It matches the Rfam family "Bacterial small subunit ribosomal RNA", at positions 28 to 505 of the family's 1533-position model. The record is from RNAcentral.